This is a long non-coding RNA of Ictalurus punctatus (channel catfish), 282 nucleotides long. RefSeq lists it as uncharacterized. The transcript has 3 exons. Lineage: Eukaryota; Metazoa; Chordata; Actinopteri; Siluriformes; Ictaluridae. The record is from RefSeq and is a predicted model, not a curated record.
CUCUGGUUCCUUAGUCCAACGGAUCUGACGCACUGAAGGCUGGACAUUGGCAGAUAUCAUCUAUGAUGAAAAAGCCUCCCUUGCGAGACGAGAAUCUUCACCAUCUGAAUCAUGAGUGCCGGUGCCCGUCGUCAGUCCCUUCUCUCUCCGUUACUGGACCUGGAUCUGGAUCUGGACACUCAUUACCAGCUUGUGCAUCUCACUGCUGAUAUCAUGAUGCUACUUAACUAUCUUCGCAGCACCCGCUCUAGGAAUGGAGAUCCAGGGUUCCCCCCUCUUCUU